This 376-nucleotide ribosomal RNA is filed under the name Salmonella enterica subsp. enterica. RNAcentral's name for it is "partial 23S ribosomal RNA". It matches the Rfam family "Bacterial large subunit ribosomal RNA", at positions 1 to 417 of the family's 2925-position model. The record is from RNAcentral. Lineage: Bacteria; Pseudomonadati; Pseudomonadota; Gammaproteobacteria; Enterobacterales; Enterobacteriaceae.
GUUAAGCGACUAAGCGUACACGGUGGAUGCCCUGGCAGUCAGAGGCGAUGAAGGGCGUGCUAAUCUGCGAUAAGCGCCGGUAAGGUGAUAUGAACCGUUAUAACCGGCGAUACCCGAAUGGGGAAACCCAGUGUGACUCGUCACACUAUCAUUAACUGAAUCCAUAGGUUAAUGAGGCGAACCGGGGGAACUGAAACAUCUAAGUACCCCGAGGAAAAGAAAUCAACCGAGAUUCCCCCAGUAGCGGCGAGCGAACGGGGAGGAGCCCAGAGCCUGAAUCAGCAUGUGUGUUAGUGGAAGCGUCUGGAAAGGCGCGCGAUACAGGGUGACAGCCCCGUACACAAAAGCGCAUGUGCUGUGAGCUCGAUGAGUAGGG